AGUGAACGCUGGCGGUAGGCCUAACACAUGCAAGUCGAACGGCAGCACAGUAAGAGCUUGCUCUUACGGGUGGCGAGUGGCGGACGGGUGAGGAAUACAUCGGAAUCUACUUUUUCGUGGGGGAUAACGUAGGGAAACUUACGCUAAUACCGCAUACGACCUACGGGUGAAAGCAGGGGAUCUUCGGACCUUGCGCGAUUGAAUGAGCCGAUGUCGGAUUAGCUAGUUGGCGGGGUAAAGGCCCACCAAGGCGACGAUCCGUAGCUGGUCUGAGAGGAUGACCAGCAACACUGGAACAGAGACACGGUCCAGCCUCCUGCGGAGGGAGGCGGGGGGGAUUAUUGAAGAGGGGGCGAAAGCCUACCCCACCCAUCCCGGGGGGGGGAAGAAGGCCUUGGGUUUGAAAGCCUUUUUUGUGGGAAAAAAAAAGCAGAGGGUAAACCCCCCCUUGUUCUGAGGGACCCAAAAAAAAAACCCCGGCCUACCUUGGGC
Molecule: ribosomal RNA, 492 nt
Filed under: uncultured bacterium
Lineage: Bacteria
Description: partial 16S ribosomal RNA
Rfam family: Bacterial small subunit ribosomal RNA
Source: RNAcentral